AAUGCCCUGCAUUUCUCGAAGCCUUACGUUCCUACGUAGGGUACUUAUGUAGAGAAUGUGGGGCAUU
This 67-nucleotide non-coding RNA is filed under the name unclassified sequences. Its description in RNAcentral is "DUF3800-VIII RNA". It matches the Rfam family "DUF3800-VIII RNA". Rfam says of the family: Bacteroidetes, Cyanobacteria, Firmicutes, Planctomycetes (1 example), Proteobacteria, Tenericutes (1 example). The record is from Rfam by way of RNAcentral.